Molecule: small RNA, 567 nt
Filed under: Pan troglodytes (chimpanzee)
Lineage: Eukaryota; Metazoa; Chordata; Mammalia; Primates; Hominidae
Description: processed transcript
Source: RNAcentral
AUCUUGUGUUGUUGAGGCUGAGGACUGACUGGGGUUCUGAGACUCCCUGUCCCGGACCGCAGCGUUAAAAGGAUCUGAACAAAGUCUGCUCAAAUCUCCUGCUGUGAACCAGCAGAAUUUUUGAACAGAGACCACGUCUCCACCUCCUGGGCUCCAACGAUUCUCCCAUCUCGGCCUCCCAAAGCGCUGGAAUUACAGGUUUCUUCACAUAUAAAAAUCUAUUGUAAAAAUACGGAAAAGAAUGGCAGCGGAAACGCAGACACUGAACUUUGGGCCUGAAUGUCUCUUACAGAUGUGUUUGGACCCCGAAUAUGGAAUUCUCAUGGAAUUUUGAGAUCCAUCACAUUGUAGUGUGGCUUCCCCCCCUCCCCUCCUUCCUUUUUCCCCAAAGUUGGUGAUUGAAGAUCCUCUCUUCAGUGGCAUCAAUAAUAAUAAUUACUUUUUCUAUUCAAACCUCGGGCAACCCCUUUGGUAAUAUCAGAAGUAGUAUCUAAAAUAGAUAAAUUGGAUUUGUGUCUUAAACUCUUGGUUGUUCAGGUGGGAGUGGUUCAAUAAAUGAUGCAGACU